Molecule: ribosomal RNA, 252 nt
Filed under: uncultured bacterium
Lineage: Bacteria
Description: partial 16S ribosomal RNA
Rfam family: Bacterial small subunit ribosomal RNA
Source: RNAcentral
UACGUAGGUCGCAAGCGUUGUCCGGAUUCAUUGGGUUAAAGGGUACGUAGGCGGUUUGAUAAGUCAGUGGUGAAAUUCGGCAGCUUAACUGUCGGCGUGCCAUUGAUACUGUCAAACUUGAAUCGAAUAGAGGUUGGCGGAAUUGGUAGUGUAGCGGUGAAAUGCAUAGAUACUACCAAGAACACAGAAAGCGAAGGCAGCUAACUGGAUUUGUAUUGACGCUGAGGUACGAGAGCAUGGGGAUCAAACAGG